Molecule: ribosomal RNA, 253 nt
Filed under: uncultured bacterium
Lineage: Bacteria
Description: partial 16S ribosomal RNA
Rfam family: Bacterial small subunit ribosomal RNA
Source: RNAcentral
UACGUAGGGGGCAAGCGUUGUCCGGAAUCAUUGGGCGUAAAGAGCGUGUAGGCGGCCAGAUAAGUCCGCUGUGAAAUCUCGAGGCUCAACCUCGAGCUGUCGGUGGAAACUGUCUGGCUAGAGUCCGGAAGAGGAGAAUGGAAUUCCUGGUGUAGCGGUGAAAUGCGCAGAUAUCAGGAAGAACACCCGUGGCGAAGGCGGCUCUCUGGGACGGUACUGACGCUGAGACGCGAAAGCGUGGGGAGCAAACAGG